AGCNCUUUCUUUUUUAAAGACCUUCUUUGAAGGUAUACUUAAGGAGGGGCUUGCGACACAUUAGUUAGUUGGCAGGGUAAAGGCCUACCAAGACUAUGAUGUGUAGCUGGACUGAGAGGUUGAACAGCCACAUUGGGACUGAGACACGGCCCAAACUCCUACGGGAGGCAGCAGUAGGGAAUUUUCGGCAAUGGAGGAAACUCUGACCGAGCAACGCCGCGUGAACGAUGAAGUACCUCGGUAUGUAAAGUUCUUUUAUUAAGGAAGAAAAAAGAGUGGAAAAACUCCCUUGACGGUACUUAAUGAAUAAGCCCCGGCUAAUUAUGUGCCAGCAGCCGCGGUAAUACAUAAGGGGCGAGCGUUAUCCGGAAUUAUUGGGCGUAAAGGGUGCGUAGGCGGUUUAANUAAGUCUAUAGUUUAAUUUCAGUGCUUAACGCUGUUGUGCUAUAGAAACUGUUUUACUAGAGUGAGUUAGAGGCAAGCGGAAUUCCAUGUGUAGCGGUAAAAUGCGUAAAUAUAUGGAGGAACACCAGAGGCGUAGGCGGCUUGCUGGGACUUUACUGACGCUGAGGCACGAAAGCGUGGGGAGCAAACAGGAUUAGAUACCCUGGUAGUCCACGCCGUAAACGAUGAGUACUAAGUGUCGGGUAAAACCGGUACUGAAGUUAACACAUUAAGUACUCCGCCUGAGUAGUACGUACGCAAGUAUGAAACUUAAAGGAAUUGACGGGACUCCGCACAAGCGGUGGAUCAUGUUUGUUUAAUUCGAAGAUACACGAAAAACCUUACCAGGUCUUGACAUUUUCUUGCGAAGUUAUAGAAAUAUAAUGGAGGUUAUCAGGAAAACAGGUGGUGCAUGGUUGUCGUCAGCUCGUGUCGUGAGAUGUUAGGUUAAGUCCUAAAACGAGCGCAACCCUUGUCGUUAAUUGCCAGCAUGUAAUGAUGGGGACUUUAACGAGACUGCCAAUGAAAAAUUGGAGGAAGGUGGGGAUUACGUCAAAUCAUCAUGCCCCUUAUGAUCUGGGCUACAAACGUGAUACAAUGGUUGAUACAAAGAGUAGCUGAAACGCGAGUUCUUAGCCAAUCUCACAAAAUCAAUCUCAGUUCGGAUUGAAGUCUGCAAUCUCGACCUUCAUGAAGUUGGAAUC
Molecule: ribosomal RNA, 1148 nt
Filed under: Yucatan papaya phytoplasma
Lineage: Bacteria; Bacillati; Mycoplasmatota; Mollicutes; Acholeplasmatales; Acholeplasmataceae
Description: bacterial SSU rRNA
Rfam family: Bacterial small subunit ribosomal RNA
Source: RNAcentral